This 921-nucleotide ribosomal RNA is filed under the name uncultured bacterium. RNAcentral's name for it is "bacterial SSU rRNA". It matches the Rfam family "Bacterial small subunit ribosomal RNA", at positions 470 to 1400 of the family's 1533-position model. The record is from RNAcentral.
UGACGGUACCUGACUAAGAAGCCCCGGCUAACUACGUGCCAGCAGCCGCGGUAAUACGUAGGGGGCAAGCGUUAUCCGGAUUUACUGGGUGUAAAGGGUGCGUAGGUGGCAGAACAAGUCUGGAGUAAAAGGUAUGGGCUCAACCCGUACUGGCUCUGGAAACUGUUCAGCUAGAGAACAGAAGAGGACGGCGGAACUCCAUGUGUAGCGGUAAAAUGCGUAGAUAUAUGGAAGAACACCGGUGGCGAAGGCGGCCGUCUGGUCUGUUGCUGACACUGAAGCACGAAAGCGUGGGGAGCAAAUAGGAUUAGAUACCCUAGUAGUCCACGCCGUAAACGAUGAGAACUAGGUGUUGGGGGAAUAACUUCAGUGCCGCAGUUAACGCAAUAAGUUCUCCGCCUGGGGAGUAUGCACGCAAGUGUGAAACUCAAAGGAAUUGACGGGGGCCCGCACAAGCGGUGGAGUAUGUGGUUUAAUUCGAAGCAACGCGAAGAACCUUACCAGGCCUUGACAUCCCUUGCAGAGGUAUAGAGAUAUAUCCGAGGUUAUCAAGGAGACAGGUGGUGCAUGGUUGUCGUCAGCUCGUGUCGUGAGAUGUUGGGUUAAGUCCCGCAACGAGCGCAACCCUUGUGAUAUGUUUCUAACAUUGAGUUGAGGACUCAUAUCAGACUGCCGGUGAUAAACCGGAGGAAGGUGGGGAUGACGUCAAAUCAUCAUGCCCCUUAUGGCCUGGGCUACACACGUACUACAAUGGCGUCUACAAAGAGCGGCAAGCCUGUGAAGGCAAGCGAAUCUCAUAAAGGACGUCUCAGUUCGGAUUGAAGUCUGCAACCCGACUUCAUGAAGCUGGAAUCGCUAGUAAUCGCGAAUCAGCAUGUCGCGGUGAAUACGUUCUCGGGCCUUGCACACACCGCCCGUCAA